Molecule: long non-coding RNA, 657 nt
Organism: Malaclemys terrapin pileata
Lineage: Eukaryota; Metazoa; Chordata; Testudines; Emydidae
Exons: 3
Source: RefSeq, a predicted model, not a curated record
UCUCACUGCAGCUGCUUGUCGAAACUACAGGUAGCUGAAGCAGGUCCUGGAGUUAUUCAUGGAGGAAGUCCCAAGAACAGAAAAUUGGAGGAGAGGAGUAUAACAAGAACACACCAUUUCUCCCUCCCAAUAACUAGGAAUCUCUGAGGGACGGAAAGUAGCAAAACCCAAUUCUCCAUCCUUGUAGCAGGCAAGGAAAUCCUGGAUGUAGGAGAGAAGGCAGAAAACUCCUUCUCCCUUCCAGCACAGAAAGGAGGAACCUCCCCCCCUAUAGAAGCCUCAUUUAAAGACCCAGCUUGUAGCUGAUUGGAGGAUGCUUGACUAAAGGUCAUCAUGGGAAAUGUAGUCCUAAACUGGAAGCUAAAGCUUGGGAUAGUGGUAUAGGAAAACAGAGGCCAAAACUCACAUCUUGAACUAGGGAUGGAACGGACUCUCACUCCUAGCAACACCUCUUGGAAACUGACACUUCUGCACUCUGUACAGUGUGCUUUGUUCUUCUGCUCCUCCCUUGUUCUUAAUAGCUAGAAAACCAAACCCAAAUAAAAAAUCAUAUGCUCAGAAGAUCAAAUCCAUUCUGCAAAGCUGCCCAUCACUUCAUUGCCUAUCCUGCUCGCUCAGAUGUCUCUGCAAUUGACAGUUCUAAACAAUGCAGGGAUG